UGAAAAGUCUGAGCAUGCGCACUUUUGCCGCUUGAUUUUUGAAAACAGUGAGGAAUUGGCAGUGGAAAUUUAGCUUGAUCCAGAUUCCAGAACAAAGAAAAAGGUAAAAUAAUGAUUGCACAUUACACCAAAUAGGUUCUCCAUGAUAAAAACAAGUUUGAUUGAUGAAAAUAAAACAGCUGUUACCGUGUUGGGCGCCUCUUUCAAGUCGGUUAUACGUGAUCGUGUUGAAAUAUGAUACUUUUUCUUAUACUGUCAAUAUAUUGCACUGAUACAAGAUAUUUUAGCCAUGAUGUGUGUUAUUUGAAUCCAUUUAUCAAAUUUCUUGAUUAACUUGUGUUGUUUCUGAAGAUAUAUGCAAUUAAAAAUAAGUAAAAACUGUAGAAAGUAAAAAAAAGGGGGAGGGGUGCACAGCCACAAGUACUUGUUUUCUAUCUGUGACAAGAGCUACUAUCCCUAUAUAUUAAGGCUACAAGUGUCUGCUCUGUUAUUUUUUGAUAAUCAUUGAAGCAUAAAAGUCUUAUCCAUGUUAUCAAUAUCAGAAAAUGUGAAGCUAAACAUCUCAGCACUUUAGAUAUUUGGGUCCAUUACAAACUCCGCACAUUUCAAACUUGGCAUAUUACCAACCCGGCCUAUUAAUGAUAAUGCUGCAUAUAUCACUGGGGGUCGUCGCUAACAUGCAUGAAAUAUUUGCCACUGGAUGUUGAGCAACAAACGAUCAAUCAUUGUAUCACUGGGUCUGACAUGGAAAUAGACAAUUGUGCCAAUAAAGAUGUUGUAAAAUAUAGGCGUCACAGAAAAAAAUUAAGAUAGCCAUCACGGUUGUCGCAAUAGGAUUAGGUCGUUGUAGGAAGGCGUCCCAGAAAAAAAAUAAAAAAACAGCCUUCCAAGUCUUGAAAGUGUCAUAAUGAUUUAGACUAGGAUCUAGCCUUGAAAGUUGGGUAAAAUUUUCUUGUUUUCAGGGUAAAACCCAGUUUACAGGUGUUAAAACAGUACAUAGGGACAUCUUUUUUGCUGUACAAUUUAUAAUAUGAAAUCUACAUGUUUAUCAAUGACGAGCUACAUGUACAAUCACUAAAUAUGUGAUCAGAAACCAUGUUGUAAUCAAUCAUAAAACAUAUGAAUUUUGGAAUGCAUUUAAAUUUGUCACUUUGUUCUCCUAAAGAUUUGUUGGACUAACAUUUUUUUUUAUAUAAAUAAGGCGGUGAAUUUUCUCGUUUGAAUUGUUUCACAUUGUCAUUUCGGGCCUUUCAUAGCUGGCUAUGCGGUAUGGGCUUUGCUCAUUGUUGAAGGCAGUACGGUUACCUAUAAAUGUUAAUUUCUGUGUCAUUUUGGUCUCUUGUAAAGAGUUAUCUCAUUGGCAAUCAUACCACAUCUUCUUUUUUAUAUGAAACAGACAGAAGAAUAUAAAAGAUAAUUGAACGUAUUUUUAAUUUUUUUUCCAGAGUCUUGUAUAUAAAUCCACAGAUCCAAUGUGUCUGAGGUUGAGGAAAUCAUUGCAGUAACCAUGUAACAGUUAAGCAUGCACCAGCUCAAGAAUUUGGACCAAGAUUUUAAAAAGGUAAACAUCAGUUGAUCAGCUCUUUUUCUGUCCUCCUUAACUGAGUGAUAUAGUUUAACUCUUGUACUGUACGUA
Molecule: long non-coding RNA, 1636 nt
Filed under: Mytilus galloprovincialis (Mediterranean mussel)
Lineage: Eukaryota; Metazoa; Mollusca; Bivalvia; Mytilida; Mytilidae
Source: RNAcentral